GACGAACUGUGCAAACGUUAUUCGGAAUCACUGGGCUUAAAGGGUGCGUAGGCGGUCUUUUAAGUAGGGUGUGAAAGCCUCUGGCUCAACCAGAGAACUGCGCCCUAAACUAGAAGGCUUGAGUGUGGUAGGGGUGUGUGGAACUUCCAGUGGAGCGGUGAAAUGUGUUGAUAUUGGAAGGAACGCCGGUGGCGAAAGCGACACACUGGACCUUGUCUGACGCUGAGGCACGAAAGCCAGGGGAGCAAACGGG
Molecule: ribosomal RNA, 253 nt
Filed under: uncultured bacterium
Lineage: Bacteria
Description: partial 16S ribosomal RNA
Rfam family: Bacterial small subunit ribosomal RNA
Source: RNAcentral